CAGUGCCAGGAAAACUGCCCUGUUUUCAUGGCACUGGAGCAUCCCUUUAAAGGGAAACUCCAGUGCCAGGAAAACAAUGCAUUUUCCUGGCACUGCAGGUAC
Molecule: microRNA precursor, 102 nt
Filed under: Pelobates cultripes (western spadefoot toad)
Lineage: Eukaryota; Metazoa; Chordata; Amphibia; Anura; Pelobatidae
Source: RNAcentral